GAAUUUAUUUAUAGCCACAAAUAAAAACAGGUAACAUUUACAAUACUAUAAACAUAUUAAAUACCUAGGGAUAAAUUUAACAAAAUAUGUAUAAGAUCUGUACACAAAAAAAUCAUAAAAUUAUUGACAGAAAUUAAAGGACGUUUAAAUAAGUAGAAAGAAAUACUAUGUUUAUGGAUAGGAAGAUUCAAUAUUGUAAAGUUUUCACUUUUGUUGUAAUUGGCCCAUAUAUUUAAUUCAAUUACACUCAAAUCCCAACAAAGUGGGGUUUUUGGUUUUGUUUUGUUUUGUUUUUCUUUUCGAGGUUUUUUUUUUUUUUUUUUUGAAGGAGGACGGGUUGAAGAGUGGAUAGUGGAACUUGGCAGGUUGCUUGUCAAAUGUAUCAGAGCUG
RNAcentral lists this long non-coding RNA (391 nucleotides) under Homo sapiens (human). RNAcentral's name for it is "non-protein coding lnc-GLCCI1-5:1". The record is from RNAcentral. Lineage: Eukaryota; Metazoa; Chordata; Mammalia; Primates; Hominidae.